Molecule: ribosomal RNA, 407 nt
Filed under: uncultured bacterium
Lineage: Bacteria
Description: partial 16S ribosomal RNA
Rfam family: Bacterial small subunit ribosomal RNA
Source: RNAcentral
AUUGAACGCUGGCGGCAGGCCUAACACAUGCAAGUCGAGCGGAGCGGCGGACUGGUGAGUAAUGUCUGGGACACUGCCUGAUGGAGGAGGACAACAUCUCGAAAGGGAUGCUAAUACCGCAUACUAAUAGAUGACCCUAAGUCGGAUUAGCUAGUUGGUGGGGUAAAGGCCUACCAAGGCGACGCUCUGGAGCGGGUCUGAGAGGGUGAUCCGUCACACUGGUACUGAGACACGGCCCAGACUCCUACGGGAGGCAGCAGUGGGGAAUAUUGGACAAUGGGGGGAACCCUGAUCCAGCCAUGCCGCGUGUGUGAAGAAGGCCUUAUGGUUGUAAAGCACUUUAAGCGAGGAGGCGUUACUCGCAGAAUAAGCACCGGCUAACUCUGGGCCAGCCGCCGCGGUAAUAC